Molecule: long non-coding RNA, 2288 nt
Filed under: Gallus gallus (chicken)
Lineage: Eukaryota; Metazoa; Chordata; Aves; Galliformes; Phasianidae
Description: lncRNA (ENSGALG00010013906.1)
Source: RNAcentral
GAUCUCUCUCUGGAGAUCACUCCACUUGGAGCCCUUUCGGUGAGCCUGGGACACAGGCUAAGCAAAUCAAGUUCUCUCAGCCUGUCCCCAUGGAAGUACACCACUAACCAAAUGGUUGGUUUAUAUUUAAUAACCCUUCCCUGGGCUCUCUGCAGUUUGUCACUACCUUUCUUGGCUGUGAAGACCACGACGGAACUCAUUCAGAUACAGCAUCACAGCAUUUGACUGAAGGGGAGCAAUUAUUUCACUUGAUCUGCUGUCUGCACUGAACUAAUGCAAGUCAGUAUACUGCAGGUCUUUCUCACCAGAAGAGUUCUCUACAGUUCACAUUAAAUUUGCCAUCCACCAGGAUCCCAGGGUAAUUUCUGUGUGGAGGUGCUACCUGUUUGAAUAAUACCAAUGAAAAACAACUCUGAAUCAGUAGUGAUACCAGCAUAAGAACAAUGAAAAGGCAGACUCAGGGCUACAUUACAAACCUAGUUCUCCAUUCAGUUCAAUCCCACAUUAACUCCACUGACCUGUGUAGUGUUUCCUUCUUUUGUCACCUUCAGACAAAUAAAAGUGGCUACAUCUUGUGUAUAGAAAGGAAAAAAAAAGUGAAAUGAAAUAAAAUAAAAAAGUUCCUAGUGAAUAUUCAUCAUCAUUUUUGCUUUAAACAACAUAUUGUGUUCAAAGGUUGUAACAGUUCUCUAAUAAAGUAAUAAACUUCUGAUAUUUAGUUCAUUAACUGCUGUGAAGGAAAAAUAUUCAUGAUACUAAUUAUGAUUUAUAGCACAGCUGUGGGCAGACCAGACAUUCCCACAGAAAGAGAGAUGAGUAAUGACACCAAAUUGUGCUGAAACUAGUAGCAUCCUCCUUCUGCUCUAAGACUGUUCAAAGGAGUUUUGCUUUUGCUGCCACUUCGAUUAUCUUUUGUCAUGAUCUGGGAAGUCAUGCACAGCCAAGGUCUUCUCUCUUUAUAGAGAGCCCUGGUCAUGGAUUUUGCUGUUGAUCAUCACUUAGGUCUCUCCCUUGUCUCCUUUAAACUGUAGUAUUGAUUAUUUUGAACAGAAUACACAAAGAUGCCCUGAAUCUCUGGGCUGGAGACUGUCUCAAACCUUAACUGUAGAUGGAUUCUCAAAGAAUAAAUUUUAGAGGACUUUGUCUUUCACCUCAUGGCAUGAAGACAUCCUGGCUCCUUGAUACAGGCACAUGAGGAAAAUGAAAAUUCAUAAUCUUGGGAGAACUCUACAAAAUUUGAUGGUAGAAGUUAAAAAUGUCACAGACAACAAGAAAUCCUGGUUUUACCCUCAAAUAAAGAGAGAGAAAAAAUUUACAUCCUGAAGUUUUGUUUCACAUAGCAACACUAAACAUAUUCAGACUCUGUAUUCAUAGAAGACACUAAUUCUCUUAACAACAGGACAUAGUUUCUGUUUCCCAAUUUUAGAUAUUGUAACUUUAUUCAUUAUUAUUUCAUCUUUGCUACCAUUUUCCCAAUGGAUUUUCCAAAUAAUGGACCCUGUAUAAUUUCUCAGACAUUUUUACCAAUAUAAGGAGGCCGUGACAAAGCAAGCUAAUGUGUUACUUCUUUUUAGAAGAAAAUGUAGGAUAUUUUCUUUCGUUAUUGAUCAGCUCUAUAAAAAGAUGGCACCCAUUGUUAGAAAAGCCGUUGAUAACAGUAUGAUUAGAAGCUGUACGAUUAGAAGCCAAGUCUUCAGAAAGUUGCUGUGUAUGUUUCCCCUUAAUCAAGUCUUGCUACUUUACAGAAUUCUAUGCAAUAUAUACAAACCUAUUGUAUGACACACGUAAAAUUUGGAAUCAUGCAUUCUAUUCCUUCUACUUGAACUCAGUUCCAGAUUUAUUUAUUUAUUUUAUAUAAAGAUAAUUUUUCCAGAAUCUUAAAACAGGAAUGUCAUGGUUUUAUGAUUUCUGGUUAUCAGUAUUGCACAUCACAAUAUCAUGCAUUGUACUGGGAGUUAAAGAGCAAAUGCUUUAGUUUCAUGUACCUGUCUGGAAGAGAAGAAGAACUGCGUUCCCCAAGAGUCUUUUCGACUACUGUUAUCAUUCCUGCUCAAGGGAAUAGAUAUAAGGGUGCAGGUCAUCUGACUCAGCCUUCUUCUCGUCUUGCCAUGUUCCCUACCGGAUCAGCUCGCUACUGUUGCUUCCGACUGCGCACAAGGCUUCAGUAUUAGUGUAAGUCCUUUGGCUCUUGGACAAUCUUUCUCUCAAUUAUUGUUGAUUUAUAUUGUAUUAUAGUGUGUUAUCUUACAUUCCGAUACUAUAUUUAGUAAAUUAGUUUGUUUCUCUUC